UUGUUGCACAGAAUCAAAAAA
This is a non-coding RNA of Caenorhabditis elegans, 21 nucleotides long. The record is from Ensembl. NCBI's taxonomy places the organism in Eukaryota, Metazoa, Nematoda, Chromadorea, Rhabditida, Rhabditidae.